GUGGGGAAUCUUCCGCAAUGGACGAAAGUCUGACGGAGCAACGCCGCGUGAGUGAUGACGGCCUUCGGGUUGUAAAGCUCUGUUAAUCGGGACGAAAGGUCCUCUUGUGAAUAAUUAGAGGAAUUGACGGUACCGGAAUAGAAAGCCACGGCUAACUACGUGCCAGCAGCCGCGGUAAUACGUAGGUGGCAAGCGUUGUCCGGAAUUAUUGGGCGUAAAGCGCGCGCAGGCGGAUUAGUCAGUCUGUCUUAAAAGUUCGGGGCUUAACCCCGUGAUGGGAUGGAAACUGCUAAUCUAGAGUAUCGGAGAGGAAAGUGGAAUUCCUAGUGUAGCGGUGAAAUGCGUAGAUAUUAGGAAGAACACCAGUGGCGAAGGCGACUUUCUGGACGAAAACUGACGCUGAGGCGCGAAAGCCAGGGGAGCGAACGGGAUUAGAAACCCUAGUAGUCC
This 450-nucleotide ribosomal RNA is filed under the name uncultured bacterium. RNAcentral's name for it is "bacterial SSU rRNA". It matches the Rfam family "Bacterial small subunit ribosomal RNA", at positions 354 to 796 of the family's 1533-position model. The record is from RNAcentral.